CUUUUGCAUUUUCAGCAUGGAAGAAAGCAGGAAAGGUUAGCAAAAACCAGAUGGAAACCUCCAUAUCUGUGCUGCUGUGGGACAGCUUCCUUGAAUUGAUGGUCAAAGGGGAGAGAGCUGCUUCUCACAACUCUGCUUUCCAAGCCAGCAUAAAGAACCUCACUUGCUUGUCUGCCAGGAGAAAUUCCCUUCCACAUGCAGCUGCAAAAUGUCAGCAUAAGGUCAGAAGGUGACCCAGAGCUACUGAAAUAACAUGCCCUUUGGUGCAGAGCUCUGGCACUGUCCUCCCCUCCUUUUGCCAUUCACUGACAUGAGAAAGUAUUAGUCCCUACAUCAUAUAAAAGGCACACACCUUCAGAGGAAGAACCUAGUGUUAUACCUGUUAAGUCGAGAGCUGCCUGUUUUCUAGCUUUACAUCCUCUACUAUUGCAAAAUAGAAUACUUGUAGCACUUUCCCACCCCGCUGUGCUCAAUAUUCUUUGGCUGGAAUUUCCCUAAAGAGCCAAUUUCCUACUGAAAUUGGCAGAUUCCAUGGAAAUCCCUGCCUUUUAUAAAUGAAGCAUUAUUUCACCUUCCAGUGAGAUGUGCCAUCCAGCAGCAGCAGCACAGUAGCUGUGUAACAGCAUGUGACUGUUUAGUGAAGUCAGGAAUACUGCACUAAGCUGAGACUCUCUCUGAAAGUAAGGGGACUGUUGUAGGGACCUGAGGGAGAGGGACAGAGGCACAGAAAAGCCAAGUAUGGGCUGAAGCAGAACGGUACUUUUGGUUCUUGUUAUGUUCAGAUCAGGAUCUGUACUCAAGAUGGAACGAAGUGGGAGCCUCCUUCCAAGUCAACAGUGCAUUCACUGGCUCCCCUCUGCCCAGGUGAUGACGUGUCCUUGAAAAGUCCCAGCCUGAGGACAUGAAAUGAUUCAGAGGGCUCUGUCACUGCCAGGAUAGGUCCAUCCGGUAUUCUCCCUUUGCAGUGAGGAACCAAAAGAGCAGAGAGAAGAAACUCAGUCCAUCCAGCCACAGGAGAGGUGUUUACAGGAUUAGCAGCUGUACCGGGGAUUUGGAAGUGUGAUCUAAGUUUGUCUAAGUAGCAGAGAGACAGGAUGAGAAUGUGAGACCCCAUCCCUUGAAGCAACAGGAGCAAUACUGCUUGACUGGAGAAGCAGUGAGGCAUUCACUUUGCAGAGCAAAUGCAGUCUGAAAGCCCGUGGCUAGGUGGAGGGAAAGGAGAGGGGCAGAUGCAUGUUGAUCUGCAUGCCCCCGUUGCUUCCUGCUGGUACAUGGGCACUGCAGCAGCAGGAAGGGCACAGCCCCCCAGAGAUCUGUCAGCUCCAUCGAUCGCUCUGCCGAAGAGCAUGUUGAUGUAUCCUCCUAACCUCUGUUGUUAAUGGGAAUUGAUAUUGGCAUCCUGCCUGCGCCACAUGUGGCUGGGGAAGAGGUUUCCCAGGUGUUCUGCACUUGCAGAGCUCUUUAAAGACUGGAAAGGAUUAGUCUCCAGGAAUUGACUAGGGCCUGAUUCUGCAGUGAUUUGUGUCCCUGCCUAACUCCCUCUUUGAGUAACUUCAGACUUUAAAGUACUCCUCAGGCUGCAGAAAAUCGCGUGCAUAGCUCUCCAUAGGCUCAGAGCCUGAAGAUGGAGACUCGAGGCAAUCAGGCUGAUCACUGGUCAAUGAUGAUUUUAGCACUGGGUUAAAUUUCCUCUCCUUCUUGACCAAUCUGUAAAAUUCUUUGUAGUGUUUGUGUGUUUAACCGAUUUGUUCCUUUCUCCAAUGAGUGAUUCUUUGUAUGACAGGCACUUGUGAGCAGGCCCUGUUUGCAACGUGUCACUUACGUAAGCUGCGUGAUUCUGUUCCUGCCUGGCUGUGAAUCUGGCCUGGGGUGAUCACUGAAGCUUAAAAUUAGAUUUUCACAAGUAUUUGCACUUGUAAAACACAACCACUCCAAUGUGCGCUGAAAGUAAAUACAACAUGGGUUGUGAAUAUUGUCAGAUCAGAAUUCCCUCAUCCGUUCAAAAAAUACUGGGAGACGAUUAUUUUCUGAUAUUUAAAUGUAGAUGUCUGCCGUGAGGUUGCCAUCCAUCCAUACGAAGGUCACUGCUGGGAGCUGAAAGAGCAUUCUGAAGCCAGAGGAAGUCUUUUUUUUUUUUUUUCAAUUUCUUUGGAAAUAUCUCACUUCAAGUGGUUUGAAAUGCAUAUGUUUUGAAUGCCAGUUGCAUGGAUUUUGGUCCAGGGCUCUCAGUUAAUAGAUUAAAAAUGCCUUGCAUUUCCUCCAGGCAUUGCAGUUGCUAAAAAACAAAUCCAAGGCAACACAAUACCAGUCUAAAUAUUAUUACAUAACACUAUUACAGCACAAGAGUGCCUGUUUAAAAUAUUGUAGUGGCGGAAGUUUUAAAAGCUUUGCCAUGCAAGCCACAGAAUAGCUGUUGUCAAACUUUUUCACUGGGCACCCUGUCUGUCAGCUCGUGAUCACUCUUCUGCAAUUGAAAUUGAAAUCCUGUUGGGUUUGCAGCCCCGUUUGUCUGGGUCAUGGCUGAUAGUGUGGGAUCCGCCGCCACAGAGGUGGGACUGGCCUGUGUUAGGCUGGGUGAACUGUGAAUGAGAAAUGUGGGACCUGCGCCAAGCUCUGCCACACAUUCCCUGUUUGUCCUUGUCAUGCCUUUGCAAUGUGCCUCAGUUCCUCAUCCAUUCUACAGGGAAAACAAUAUUAGCAAAGGUGGAGCCCAGUCUGAACACGUCUUUGCUACCUCUUCCCUUGUGGCAGGUGCCAUGCAAAGUCACACGGAAUGGACUGAAAUGUGUAUAAAUGAAGCAGUCUGUGCUCAGCACAAAGUGUGUGCUGCAUCCACACUGAGGUCCCAGUUUUGUUUAUGCAGGUGAUUAACCCCCAAAGAUCUGCACGUGUGAGAUGAGCAAGCAUAUUUGCUCACAGGGCUAUAUAUAUAUAUGUCUCUUAUUUGCAGUUGCUGAUAAAGGCACAGGUGAUGAAAACUUAUUAUCCAAGUGCUGAGCUGCUACGAUAUCGAUGCUUGACAAGUGAAAACACAAGUUUUCCUGUGUUGUGUCCUCUCUGGUCACCUGAAAAACCCAUAAACAUGACUGUUUAUAAGCAACUGGGGUUCAAAUACUGCUGCAUGUGUUUCUCUGACCUGAAAUCCUCUCCCAUUGUUUCUAACAGUACAAUGUGCAGACCUAGAUCUGACUUUUACAGUCGGCAGAGAGAAAAAGGCGUUUCUAGAAUAUGAUUUGUCAUCUUUGAGAUGGCUGUCUGAAAUGGCCUCGGUGAGGCACACCCUGGCAAUGCAGUCUAGCUCUGGUUUAGGCGUCUUCAAGGUAGGAGUUCAAACUUAGGUAGGAAUUCAAUUUCUGAAUUACUUUUCCUUUGGAAUUGAAGGCCCAGACUCAGCGUACAUCAGCCUAAGGAAAGCUAUCGAUUGGCAGCUCACCAUGAGUGAGCGCAUAUGACUUCGGCUUAAUUAAGGUGAACUGGCAACCCUGUCUGAAUGUGGAGGCACUGUUUCUCAUGCAAGUCUGGAAGGAAAAUAAAGCCUGAGACAUCUCGACAGAAGGGGGACACUGACGAGAUCCCAGGAGACCUGCCUUUGACUUUGUAAAUAAUCUUGAUCACAUCGGUUGAUCCCAACCCCUGUCUACCUGUCAGCAUCAAAAUAAAACACCUGCUCAGAUAGUAUUUUCCCAUUCUAACACCUUUUUAAAUACUCUCAACCUUCUGUUUAAUUACGUGAAGCAGGACCUGCUUACCAACCACACCUCUCAACUUAGGGGACUUUUCCUGCCUCGAGGGCAGUCUGGUGGCUAUCUGCCACAAGACCACGCUGCUGACAGAAAACAGUUCCAGAAUGUCAUCAAUCCAGAGUCUUCCAGAAUCUGUCCCUGUCACAGCUGUCAGCUCCAGCAGGGCACUGAGAAUUGAGUGCAGAAGCUUUGGCUCCAGAUACAAGCACUCCUGACACUUGAGGAGAAGGCGGCUCUGGCUUCAGUCUGCAGCAAUAAGUAACAACCACUGUGCUUCAGAACUGCACAAUUCUUACAUCCUUUCAUGGCUAUUCACAAUGUUUGACUUUUUCUUUUUUCCUGCAGAGCUCUGUAGAGGCACAUAAAUGUGAGAAGUGAGAGAGGAGCACCAUAAACUUAGUUUAUUUCAAGUUGUGCUUAACGAUCAUAAGAUUCAUCAGAUAACAUUAUUCACUGUGUACCAUUCGACCUACUUAGGGGUUUGUUAAGAUGGUAAUAAGACAACAGACUCAGCUCACCACCCCGUACAAAGAGCCCUGUGCUGAUAAAAUUUGUAUCCCUUUCCAUAUGGCACUUUCCUGCAAUAAACCCCUGUGUACAGGUUUAACUCCAAAUAGGCUUGUGGGAAACAAAGGGAGAAGGGAGUAUUGUUGUACGUUAACUGUACUGCAAGUGGUACAGGUUUCACAAGACAGACAUAAACUUCAUUCUGCAGGUGGGUGCUGCCUUAUCACGGUGUAAGAGCACACAUACGGCAGCUUGUGCAGAGCAGUUCAUCAGGAGCUGCACAUCCAGUUUCUCAUUUCCCUGUUUAUGCAGCCCCUAAGACAGUGGUGCAGUGGGACCUUGCAGCCAACGCAGCGUCAGCACAGGACUCCCCAGGGCACGGAAACAGCUGUGGCAAGGGAGGGCAGAGAGCACCUCCAUCCCUGCGCUGUGCCAUGGGCUGUGCUGCAGGCAGCAACGCGAGCAGAGUGCUCCAAAUCCAGCUGUAUGAGUAAGAAGAGGAGAAGAAGUAACCAAAGUGGCAGGGGGCAGCCACUUUGACAGCAGGCCGGGGCAUAAGCCAGCCUAAUAAAGUGAGAUUAUCUCAAAUGCAUGCAAA
Molecule: long non-coding RNA, 4848 nt
Organism: Gallus gallus (chicken)
Lineage: Eukaryota; Metazoa; Chordata; Aves; Galliformes; Phasianidae
Exons: 2
Source: RefSeq, a predicted model, not a curated record